CUAGGCACUGAACAACAAGGCUCUCCAGAAACGGGUGGAAAAUCUUCAAGACCAACAAACAGAAGUGAGAAGGUAAUAGGAUGGUGUCAACGGAAGAAACUGAAUUCAAGUUACAGCAACAAGGCUGAUUCUAAUGAAGGGCGGGACAUUGAUUCUGCAUUUCUAACAACCUCCCUGGUGACGCUGACUCUGUUGGUCACUCUACAUAGCAAGGAAGCAGCAUUAGGCUCAAAGAAGAAAUCAGUAAAAGAAAACUACGGAUGGAUCUACAUCCCCUCCAGAACAGUCUACCGAGAGUUGCUGUUACCAGUGAGAUGUUAUAGAGAAGUCAACAGUGGUGCAUCAGCAGAUCUGAGUUCCAUCUUUGGAGACAUAAUAAACUCUGUAUCAUCUUGAGUAACUUGUAUAAGCAUUUCAAGCUUUAGCUUUCUGAUAAAGUACAUAAGUCGCUUAUAACAGAUAAUCAGAGAAUAAAAAGAAUGGUAAUUAGUACUUUAAUGCUUGCUACGUGCAUCCAGUAUGCCAGGAUUUUACUAUAAGAAGUAUUUAGGGUAAUGAAUGCAACAUCAGUAGUGUUCCCAGAUUAAAUACAGGACACCUAGUUACAC
This 608-nucleotide long non-coding RNA is filed under the name Mustela putorius furo (domestic ferret). Its description in RNAcentral is "lncRNA (ENSMPUG00000028535.1)". Lineage: Eukaryota; Metazoa; Chordata; Mammalia; Carnivora; Mustelidae. The record is from RNAcentral.